This is a non-coding RNA of Schistosoma curassoni, 104 nucleotides long. NCBI's taxonomy places the organism in Eukaryota, Metazoa, Platyhelminthes, Trematoda, Strigeidida, Schistosomatidae. The record is from Rfam.
AUGUGUUAAAAUAAAUAAGAACUAAAAUUGGAACGAUACAUAGAUGAUUAGCAUGGCCCCCGAGCAAGGAUGACAAGCAAAAUCGUGAAGCGUUCCAUAUUUUU